This 471-nucleotide ribosomal RNA is filed under the name uncultured Methanosaeta sp. RNAcentral's name for it is "bacterial SSU rRNA". It matches the Rfam family "Archaeal small subunit ribosomal RNA", at positions 871 to 1337 of the family's 1478-position model. Lineage: Archaea; Methanobacteriati; Methanobacteriota; Methanomicrobia; Methanotrichales; Methanotrichaceae. The record is from RNAcentral.
GACGGGGAGCACCACAACGGGUGGAGUCUUGCGGUUUAAUUGGAUUCAACGCCGGAAAUCUUACCGGGACCGACAGCAAUAUGAAGGCCAGGCUGAAGACUUUGCCGGAUUAGCUGAGAGGUGGUGCAUGGCCGUCGUCAGUUCGUACUGUGAAGCAUCCUGUUAAGUCAGGCAACGAGCGAGACCCACGCCCACAGUUGCCAGCGUACUCUCCGGAGUGACGGGUACACUGUGGGACCGCCGCUGCUAAAGCGGAGGAAGGAAUGGGCAACGGUAGGUCAGUAUGCCCCGAAUAUCCCGGGCUACACGCGAGCUACAAUGGUUGGUACAAUGGGUAUCUACCCCGAAAGGGGACGGGAAUCUCCUAAAACCAAUCUUAGUUCGGAUUGAGGGCUGCAACUCGCCCUCAUGAAGCUGGAAUCCGUAGUAAUCGCGUUUCAACAGAACGCGGUGAAUACGUCCCUGCUCCUU